Molecule: non-coding RNA, 29 nt
Filed under: Rattus norvegicus (Norway rat)
Lineage: Eukaryota; Metazoa; Chordata; Mammalia; Rodentia; Muridae
Source: RNAcentral
UNCCAAAUGUUAGCAUGACAUGCCUGCUC